UGAAACCCCAGAGAAGAGCA
This 20-nucleotide transfer RNA is filed under the name Leucosarcia melanoleuca (Wonga pigeon). RNAcentral describes it as "partial tRNA-Gly". The record is from RNAcentral. Lineage: Eukaryota; Metazoa; Chordata; Aves; Columbiformes; Columbidae. RNAcentral also lists the same sequence under 1 other name.